Molecule: ribosomal RNA, 468 nt
Filed under: uncultured bacterium
Lineage: Bacteria
Description: partial 16S ribosomal RNA
Rfam family: Bacterial small subunit ribosomal RNA
Source: RNAcentral
GACGAACGCUGGCGGCGUGCCUAACACAUGCAAGUCGAACGGAAAGGCCCUGCUCUUGUGGGGUGCUCGAGUGGCGAACGGGUGAGUAACACGCGAGUAACCUGCCCUUGACUUUGGGAUAACUCCUGGAAACUGGGGCUAAUACCGGAUAGGAGCUCCUGCUGCACGGUGGGGGUUGGAGAGUUACGGCGGUUGGGGAUGGACUCGCGGCUUAUCAGCUUGUUGGUGGGGUAGUGGCUUACCAAGGCUUUGAAGGGUAGCCGGCCUGAGAGGGUGACCGGCCACAUUGGGACUGAGAGACGCCGCAGACUGCAACGGGAGGCAGCAGGGGGGAAUAUUGCACAAUGGGCGGAAGCCUGAUACAGCGGCGCCGCGUGCGGGAUGACGGCCUUCGGGUUGUAAACCGCUUUCGCCGGUGACGAAGCGUGAGUGACGGUAAUGGGUAAGAAAGCACCGGCUAACUACGUG